This 549-nucleotide ribosomal RNA is filed under the name uncultured bacterium. RNAcentral describes it as "bacterial SSU rRNA". It matches the Rfam family "Bacterial small subunit ribosomal RNA", at positions 355 to 896 of the family's 1533-position model. The record is from RNAcentral.
UGGGGAAUUUUGGACAAUGGGCGCAAGCCUGAUCCAGCCAUGCCGCGUGCCUGAAGAAGGCCUUCGGGUUGUAAAGGACUUUUGUCAGGGAAGAAAAGGCUGUUGCUAAUACCGACAGUUGAUGACGGUACCUGAAGAAUAAGCACCGGCUAACUACGUGCCAGCAGCCGCGGUAAUACGUAGGGUGCGAGCGUUAAUCGGAAUUAUUGGGCGUAAAGCGAGCGCAGACGGUUACUUAAGCAGGAUGUGAAAUCCCCGGGCUCAACCUGGGAACUGCGUUCUGAACUGGGUGACUAGAGUGUGUCAGAGGGAGGUAGAAUUCCACGUGUAGCAGUGAAAUGCGUAGAGAUGUGGAGGAAUACCGAUGGCGAAGGCAGCCUCCUGGGAUAACACUGACGUUCAUGCUCGAAAGCGUGGGUAGCAAACAGGAUUAGAUACCCUGGUAGUCCACGCCCUAAACGAUGUCAAUUAGCUGUUGGGCAACUUGAUUGCUUAGUAGCGUAGCUAACGCGUGAAAUUGACCGCCUGGGGAGUACGGUCGCAAGAUUA